RNAcentral lists this long non-coding RNA (3709 nucleotides) under Volvox carteri. RNAcentral's name for it is "long non-coding RNA (VCAR_LNC000250)". The record is from RNAcentral. Lineage: Eukaryota; Viridiplantae; Chlorophyta; Chlorophyceae; Chlamydomonadales; Volvocaceae.
GCAGCAGGAAUAACUUUACCGAAGCGAUCUCCGUACACUCGUGAAGUGACUCUAUUUCGUAGUCCUGCGACACGUUAGAAUUUACAAGAGAAAAUGUGAAUUUUCCAGUAGCCGGGCCGAAGUGCUAUGCAACAUGCGGGAGUGCUACUGUCUCGCAUAAGUAACUUUGCUAAAGGCAUGCCUGCUGAAAGCAGAGCGAUACAGAAGAUGAUGUAAGCGCGUGACCAGUGGCUGCUGACAUUUGGGAUGCCGUGUGCAAAGAGUUUUGUAAAAACGACAGUUAGGAGCAAAGGCAGCCAUCGAAUGCUAGCUAGCGGUGAAUCACCAAUUGCGCUUACUGCUUGGAGAAAUUAAACGUAUCUGAGGUCCGUUGCGAUGAAACGCAUGGACUCAUGCGGGCCCAUUUACAAGAAAGGUCCUUAACUAGGCUUAACUAGGAAGCGCGAGGUCGUCGGUCUGGGAAACUACAGUCGCUGUAGUAGCAUGUCUGCUGACGGUUGCAUGUAGCAGCCUGUAGCAGCCGUUGCGAACCUUCAGGUACCGCACCUAUUGUCUGCAUAUUACGUGUUAUGGAAAGGGGUGAUGUAGUAGCUGGCCGCUGAAAGGCUGUACCAGCUACUACAGGUGAUACCACCAUCAGACCACUCCGAGAUGUCAAAGCCAACCGUCGCUAAUUGUUCCAAAUGGAAGCUUGUAAAUAUAAGUAUUAAUGUUUCGUGAGUGAAUUGCGUACUUUGCGGAAUUGAGUGUGUGCCAUCUUUUGAAUUGAAUUGUUACAGAGCGGGAGGCUUCUGGGCCAUUUAAACAUGUCUGGGUCAUUUCUACGAUUUAUCAUACCAUUCAGCACCAUCCACCAUUACCACACUGUACUACGCCUUCCGAACUGGAGUCCAAGGCAGUUGAUCCUGCCUUCUAGGACCCCUCCUCAUCCAUUCACCCGAACAACCGCGGAGGCAGAGGGUUCAGCAAUCGCCAGCGUGCGAAUCUCUAUCCAUCAACUGUGACCUCAACUCCACAACUCAGCAGCUAGCCAUUAAUCUCACGCUCCCGGCAAUGUCGGGGGUCUUCCCAGGAAUUGAAACUAGGACCUUAAACUGUGUAAGACUGUAGUGUCGACAGUAGUGGUAGUGUCGACCAGACCAGAUCAUGUGCCAUCUGACUCCGACGGCAACUAUGUAUCAAAGUUAAGGAUGCAACACCACAAUGGAACGGAAACGGCAUGACAUUAUAUGUUAUGUGUUUGUCAUGGAAAACAAUAUGCAUAUUGUUUUCCAUGACAAACAAAUAACAUAUGGACACGGAUGGACAUAUGGACAACUUGGACGACUUGGACGACUUCUGUUGCAAGUCAUGUCACAAGGCAUAUGUUAAACCAUGACCCUGAAGCAAACGAAAACCAAAUGAACUUUGGAAUCUCUAAUACAAAUUAAGGAAAGACGAAUGUGAAAAUGAGGGGGGGGUCUGACCCGUGUACCGGGCACACUGAUUUCCUCUCCAGCGGGAGACGUACACCCAUGCUUUCCUUCGGCAGCCUUUGCCUGUUUCGUGCGCCAAGCUGAUGUGGACCUUCAGGUACUGCACCUAUUGUCUGUAUAUUACGUGCUACAGGAAGAAUAAUCAGGUAACUGAAGGGUCUUUCCAUUGGCAUUUCCAAAAAUACCAACUUUGAAACGUUUUUUAGUUCUCUCCGAAAUCGCUCUCUCAUGGUGGUCUUAAGACCAAAAGAUCACAAGCUUGUGAGUCAUUAUUUCAGUCAGACCUAUCGGUUAAAGAGCUUUGGACACCUGUAAUGUACAUCGUGAUACGGUAUGGGGUUCCCUAGCUAUGUAUGGCGGCGGGAAGCCACAUUCUUUAGUUGCAUGUAACCCCAGAAGUGCAGACCACCCUCCGCGCUCGAGCAGCUCACAAGUCGAUAACAGAUGCUUCGCAGUGUAUAUAGCUGAAUUUUAAGGAUUGAAAAUGUCAAACAACUUGCCGUAUUGCCAAAAUAGUACACUCUCCCGACCAUGUAUCAAAUUUGCUCUGUAGCGACUUCCAGCUGGUCAUAGAGAACUGAGUUUGACGGCUUUGGUUGCGUAUUGUUCCGGGCAUAGCAGGAGACCGAAUAUUGCCAUAUCAUUAAUUAUAAGCUAUAAACGCGUUGAGAACGGUCAUAUGCUUACGGCGCACCGCAUAAAGACUGACGAAUGUAGAUUUCGAUCUCGCGACGUAAAAGCAGGCGGUUUGUGUCUUACGAUCUAGCUUCGGUCUGAGAAAUGUUCUAUGAAAAAUAUUCUGUACUAGUCUCUUCUCAGUUUCCGUUGGCCGCCUUGAACCUGGCCCGGAGCAACGUAAACUGGUAGUUACCGUUGCGUAAUGAAGCAGUUGCUGCGCGAAAAGGGUAGCUGCGUCUUACGUUGACCAUACGACAGUUGUACGAAUGGCGGGCGCGUUUGCCAUAUAUAAGGCGCGGCCUGACCAAUAUUUUCUAAGGGAUAUUCCAAUCAUACAACUCCCGCGCACGGUAGCAGGAUGCACCGGCCAAGGCAGUUUGUAACGGGUAUCGCCUUCAGUUGGCAUGGAUGACUCCCACCCAUUUUAUCUUGUCAACAACCGGCUAGGUUCCAACCCGACAGUGGGCCUAGUGGCCAAGAGGCAGAAAAACUCUGCUCACAUCAGGCUCACAACCACACCUGGGCCUACGGUCUCAGGUAGGGAUGCGAAUUUACGUUUUACGUUUUUACGUUUUAAGGAAUUAAGGUUACGUAAUUACAUAAUUAAGAUUGGACCUGGCCGUAAUUUACAGAAUUAAGGGCUCGCCGUAAUAAGGUCCCUCAGGAGGGGUAGAAACCUUAAAAGCUUAACAGACCCAUGGGUCUUACAGGUUCCGCCGGUCUGCAAACCAGGGUGCCGCUGACCCGUCCACUCCUCCGAACACACCACAAACCCAGCCAUGGGGGAAGCGUGAAAGAGUCCAACAAUGCAGGUUGAAACCCGCGAUUCCCUCCGCCCAACCAAGCAAAAGAGCAAGUCAAGUAGUCGGAGGGCUUGGCCUUGUCGCACGACGUGCGGGGCGGCAGGACCGGCAAGCCCGCAGCAUUGCGAGGGGGCAAAGCGUACGCGAGCAGCGUGGUGCCCUUUUUCAUAUGCUGCUGCUGGUCCUUAAGAGCAGGUGGUGUUGCAGUAUCAACGCCGCCAUACGCGCCGGUGCCGGGGGUCGUGCCCACGUCAGCCAUGGUUCAAACUGGAAAGGCGAUAGUCGCCAAGUCGGCUGUACAAGCGCCAAACUGGUGUCAAAAAUAUGUAAAUAAGUAAAGAAUGGUGUUGCGAAUGUGAAAACGCUGAAAUUGUGCUGAAAAUCCAAAAUCGUACACUAGUACGGCAACCUUAAAUUAAGGGUCCAGGGUCCAGGCCGUGGAAACCGUAAAUUACAGUAAUUUACUAUAUUACGCUUUUAAGCUUACGUAAUUAAGGUUGUCAAAUCCCAAUUCAGCUGAAACUCACAUCCCUAGUCUCAGGACAAAACUCUGAUUCUGCUUCCGCUCGCGCACACAAAUCUCGAUCCUAUCUCGCUUAAGACAAUCUACUGGUAUCGAUUCCUUUCUAUAAACGAUCCUGGGCGCCCCGGUGUGUCCAUCCAGCGGUUCCCCCAAACGAGAAAUUUUUUGGGCUGCCGCAUUUGGCGCGGCGCUACAGCACCUCAAAAACGCUUACGCUGAUUGCACCAGCU